Molecule: transfer RNA, 68 nt
Filed under: Marmota monax (woodchuck)
Lineage: Eukaryota; Metazoa; Chordata; Mammalia; Rodentia; Sciuridae
Description: tRNA.Ala
Source: RNAcentral
GGAAUGUAGCUCAGUGGUAGAAUGCCUACCUAGCAAGCAUGAGGCCCUGGAUUCAAUCCCUAGCACCA